GGCCGCCGAGCGCAUACUGGACGGCGGCCCACAGUUCACUCCUCAGGCGCGGAAGAAAUGGUGGAAGGCCCAGCUCUGGAUGAUCCUGGGCGCUGCCCCCGUUACCCGUUACCAAGAAGAAGGACUCCUGACCUUCAGGCUCAGUGUGGCUCGGUCAUAUUCCAACACCCGGAUGGCUGGAUUAUUGGCCCCAUUGACCACUCCAGAGCAUCCGAAAGCUGUCGGUGUGGUGGUGCCCGAAGAACUGCCCUGCUAUGACGCCAUGAUGCUUCCGGACCACCUUCAGAUGGGGAGACUGAGCGAGUGAGCGGCAGACCGGGGAUUCCGAGCACGUCACAAUGGAAAUUAUUACGGUGCACUAUAUUCUGCCACCACCUACUAGCAUGGCCUUGGAGAUAUAUACAGGUUUUCCUUGACUUACGAUGGGGCUACGUCCCCCAAAAUUGAAAAAUAUCAUAAAUCAAAAAUGCAUUCAACACACCCAACCUACCA
Molecule: non-coding RNA, 492 nt
Filed under: Pongo abelii (Sumatran orangutan)
Lineage: Eukaryota; Metazoa; Chordata; Mammalia; Primates; Hominidae
Source: RNAcentral